RNAcentral lists this long non-coding RNA (226 nucleotides) under Populus tremula. RNAcentral's name for it is "long non-coding RNA (PTRE_LNC002587)". The record is from RNAcentral. Lineage: Eukaryota; Viridiplantae; Streptophyta; Magnoliopsida; Malpighiales; Salicaceae.
UCUCAAUGUUACGGGUGAUAAGCACUUCCUUUGCACAAUUGCUGACCACUGCUCUGCGGGACAAAAAUUAGCCAUUACCGUAGCUGAAGGCAACACCACCUCAUCAGGGACAUCACCGCCGCCACCCUCAGCCGCCUCAAGUCCUGUUGCAACCUUUGCUUUGAUGUUCGUGUGCAUUGCCAUUAGUUUGAUGUGUUGCUUUUAGCCCAUCCUGUAGCAAUAAUUU